UACGUAGGGACCGAGCGUUGUCCGGAAUCAUUGGGCGUAAAGAGCGUGUAGGCGGCCACUUAAGUCCUGCGUGAAAUCUUGCGGCUCAACCGCAAGCGGUCGUGGGAAACUGGGUGGCUAGAGUGCGGGAGAGGAGAGUGGAAUUCCUGGUGUAGCGGUGGAAUGCGCAGAUAUCGGGAGGAACACCGGUGGCGAAGGCGGUUCUCUGGGCCUGUACUGACGCUGAGGAGCGAAAGCGUGGGGAGCGAACAGG
This 253-nucleotide ribosomal RNA is filed under the name uncultured bacterium. RNAcentral's name for it is "partial 16S ribosomal RNA". It matches the Rfam family "Bacterial small subunit ribosomal RNA", at positions 524 to 776 of the family's 1533-position model. The record is from RNAcentral.